AUGAACGCUGGCGGCGUGCCUAAUACAUGCAAGUCGAGCGAACAGAUGAGGAACUUGCUCCUCUGACGUUAGCGGCGGACGGGUGAGUAACACGUGGAUAACCUACCUAUAAGACUGGGAUAACUUCGGGAAACCGGAGCUAAUACCGGAUAAUAUAUUGAACCGCAUGGUUCAAUAGUGAAAGACGGUUUUGCUGUCACUUAUAGAUGGAUCCGCGCCGCAUUAGCUAGUUGGUAAGGUAACGGCUUACCAAGGCAACGAUGCGUAGCCGACCUGAGAGGGUGAUCGGCCACACUGGAACUGAGACACGGUCCAGACUCCUACGGGAGGCAGCAGUAGGGAAUCUUCCGCAAUGGGCGAAAGCCUGACGGAGCAACGCCGCGUGAGUGAUGAAGGUCUUCGGAUCGUAAAACUCUGUUAUUAGGGAAGAACAAAUGUGUAAGUAACUAUGCACGUCUUGACGGUACCUAAUCAGAAAGCCACGGCUAACUACGUG
RNAcentral lists this ribosomal RNA (496 nucleotides) under uncultured bacterium. Its description in RNAcentral is "partial 16S ribosomal RNA". It matches the Rfam family "Bacterial small subunit ribosomal RNA", at positions 29 to 507 of the family's 1533-position model. The record is from RNAcentral.